UACGGAGGGGGCUAGCGUUGUUCGGAAUUACUGGGCGUAAAGCGCACGUAGGCGGAUGCUUAAGUCGGGGGUGAAAUCCCGGGGCUCAACCCCGGAACUGCCUUCGAUACUGGGUGUCUGGAGUCCGGGAGAGGCGAGUGGAAUUCCGAGUGUAGAGGUGAAAUUCGUAGAUAUUCGGAGGAACACCAGUGGCGAAGGCGGCUCGCUGGUCCGGUACUGACGCUGAGGUGCGAAAGCGUGGGGAGCAAACAGG
This 253-nucleotide ribosomal RNA is filed under the name Paracoccaceae bacterium. Its description in RNAcentral is "partial 16S ribosomal RNA". It matches the Rfam family "Bacterial small subunit ribosomal RNA", at positions 524 to 776 of the family's 1533-position model. Lineage: Bacteria; Pseudomonadati; Pseudomonadota; Alphaproteobacteria; Rhodobacterales; Paracoccaceae. RNAcentral also lists the same sequence under 1 other name. The record is from RNAcentral.